CUUGUCUCAAAGAUUAAGCCAUGCAUGUCUAAGUUCACACUAUCUCACGGUGAAACCGCGAAUGGCUCAUUAAAUCAGUCGAGGUUCCUUAGAUGACACGAUCCUACUUGGAUAACUGUGGCAAUUCUAGAGCUAAUACAUGCUUAUCAAGCUCCGACCCUCGUGGAAAGAGCGCUUUUAUUAGUUCAAAACCAAUCGCCGUUACCCUUCGGGGUGCGGCGUCCCCACUGGUGACUCUGGAUAACUUUGUGCUGAUCGCAUGGCCUUUUGCGCCGGCGACGCAUCUUUCAAAUGUCUGCCCUAUCAAAUGUCGAUGGUACGUGACAUGCCUACCAUGUUUGUAACGGGUAACGGGGAAUCAGGGUUCGAUUCCGGAGAGGGAGCAUGAGAAACGGCUACCACAUCCAAGGAAGGCAGCAGGCGCGCAACUUACCCACUCCCGGCACGGGGAGGUAGUGACGAAAAAUAACAAUACGGGACUCUUUCGAGGCCCCGUAAUUGGAAUGAGUACACUUUAAACCCUUUAACGAGGAUCUAUUGGAGGGCAAGUCUGGUGCCAGCAGCCGCGGUAAUUCCAGCUCCAAUAGCGUAUAUUAAAGUUGUUGCAGUUAAAAAGCUCGUAGUUGGAUCUCAGGCGCAGGCGGGUGGUCCGGCUCGCGCCGGCUCACUGCCCGUAUCUCCUGCCCUACCCGUCUGCCGGCUCUCUCCCGUGGGUGCUCUUCACUGAGCGUCCCGGGUGGCCGGCGCGUUUACUUUGAAAAAAUUAAAGUGUUCAAAGCAGGCCUCGGCUGCCUGAAUAAUGGUGCAUGGAAUAAUGGAAUAGGACCUCGGUUCUAUUUUGUUGGUUUUCGGAACUGGAGGUAUUGAUUAACAGGGACAAACGGGGGCAUUCGUAUUGCGGCGUUAGAGGUGAAAUUCUUGGAUCGCCGCAAGACGAGCUACUGCGAAAGCAUUUGUCAAGAAUGUUUUCAUUAAUCAAGAACGAAAGUCAGAGGCGCGAAGACGAUCAGAUACCGUCGUAGUUCUGACCAUAAACGAUGCCACCUAGCGAUCCGCAGGAGUUGCUUCGAUGACUCUGCGGGCAGCUUCCGGGAAACCAAAGUUUUUGGGUUCCGGGGGAAGUAUGGUUGCAAAGCUGAAACUUAAAGGAAUUGACGGAAGGGCACCACCCGGAGUGGAGCCUGGGCCUUAAUUUGACUCAACACGGGAAAACUCACCCGGUCCGGACCCUGUAAGGAUUGACAGAUUGAUAGCUCUUUCUUGAUUCGGUGGGUGGUGGUGCAUGGCCGUUCUUAGUUGGUGGAGCGAUUUGUCCGCUUAAUUCCGAUAACGAACGAGACUCUAGCCUAUUAAAUAGUUCGCCGGUCCCCUGAUGCGCCGGCGCAACUUCUUAGAGGGACGAGUGGCGUUUAG
This 1413-nucleotide ribosomal RNA is filed under the name Paraganitus sp. AB34402002. Its description in RNAcentral is "SSU rRNA". It matches the Rfam family "Eukaryotic small subunit ribosomal RNA", at positions 31 to 1433 of the family's 1831-position model. The record is from RNAcentral. Lineage: Eukaryota; Metazoa; Mollusca; Gastropoda; Acochlidiacea; Ganitidae.